This is a long non-coding RNA of Pygocentrus nattereri (red-bellied piranha), 1176 nucleotides long. RefSeq lists it as uncharacterized. The transcript is spliced from 2 exons. Lineage: Eukaryota; Metazoa; Chordata; Actinopteri; Characiformes; Serrasalmidae. The record is from RefSeq and is a predicted model, not a curated record.
CUCCACACAGAGAGGACCCCGAUCACCCGGCCGGGGAGCUGAACCCAGGCCCUCCUCGCUGUGAGGCAACAGCGCUGCCCGCCGCGCCACUGUGCCGUGCUGGUUCUGGAUGAGAACGGAGUAUCUCAUGCCUGAAACGCACCUUGGGGCUUAGCAACCUUCUUACUCUCCAUUGACCAAUCACAGGUCUGGGACGAGCGUCAGCAGUGUCCGCACGUGCCGUUUACAACCAAACAGAAGCAGAGAAAGUGUGGCGGGAACGGCCCCCCGGCAACGGCAACAACUCAGUCUGUGGGAGCAUAUGCUGUUUAUCCGUUUAAAAACACAAGGGGCUAAAAGAAAGGACAGAUGACGGCUGAGGGAGGCCAGGACAGGCCCAAACGAGGGGAAGAGAGACUGGAAAACACAGGUUUGUAUGUUAAAAUCUCUUUAUUCAUCCCUGAUACAAAAAACAAUGCUUUAUUACUCCUUUCUUUUUUGAAAAAUAGCAAGGCGCACAUGUGCGUUUUCUGUUUAUUGUCUGGAAUUCCCUCGGGAUGUGUGCAUAUAUAUAUCCGUGUUAGACGUAUUAUGCACUGUUUGGGUGCAGGAGACAGUAUUUUAACACCUAUGUAGUGCACUAUGUAGGGAACAGGGAGCCAUUUAACACUCAGCCAAGCCAUGGCUAGGCCUGGUAUGCCCUUUUUUGGCCAUCUAUUUUCUUUUCCUGUCAAGUCCCAGAUUUCAAAUAUAGUCACGCACAAACCCCACAAACCGUUAUUGCACAUCUUCAUUACCUUUAGAUCGUUCAUCAAAAAAAACAAAAACAAAACAACAACAACGACAUUAAUAACAAAAAUAAAACUCCUAUAUUGCUCUACUCGAUUUCCUUUAGAUGAUUGUUAAUAAAUACACACUUGUGAUUUACACUAGCGGAUGAAAUGAAACGGAACACAAAAAAUGCAAAACAGCGAAGGAAACUUUCGCAAAAGUCCUGUCCCAUCGUUAGGAGCCGAGAUGCUGUUACCAUGGUUACCUGACUUGACUGCGAGUGACGUCACGUCGCAGCUUCAUGUGUGAGGAAAGUGUAAGGAGUGUGGGUAGCAUGGACCUGUGUUUCCGUAUAUAUUCUCUCGCUGAGAUCACAUUCAUCUGAGAUGUUGUAGGCACUUAAGUGAGAUGAUACUGUUAAAGAAA